GGGCUCGAUUCCAGCACACACACUAACACCGGAAGGAUCCAGAGAAGACCGCAUGGCGCCUGCACAAGGAGACACGCAAAUCUGUGAAGUGCCCCAUAGUUUU
Molecule: small nuclear RNA, 103 nt
Organism: Molossus molossus (Pallas's mastiff bat)
Lineage: Eukaryota; Metazoa; Chordata; Mammalia; Chiroptera; Molossidae
Source: RefSeq, a predicted model, not a curated record